GUGCUCGCGUCGGCAGCACAUAUACUAAAUUUGGAAUGAUACAGAGAAGAUUAGCAUGGCCCCUGUGCAAGGAUGACAUGCAAAUUCAUGAAGCAUUCCAUAUUUUU
Molecule: small nuclear RNA, 107 nt
Organism: Peromyscus californicus insignis
Lineage: Eukaryota; Metazoa; Chordata; Mammalia; Rodentia; Cricetidae
Source: RefSeq, a predicted model, not a curated record